RNAcentral lists this ribosomal RNA (429 nucleotides) under Actinomycetes bacterium. RNAcentral describes it as "Actinobacteria bacterium partial 16S ribosomal RNA". It matches the Rfam family "Bacterial small subunit ribosomal RNA", at positions 355 to 776 of the family's 1533-position model. RNAcentral also lists the same sequence under 2 other names. The record is from RNAcentral. Lineage: Bacteria; Bacillati; Actinomycetota; Actinomycetes.
UAGGGAAUCUUCCGCAAUGGACGAAAGUCUGACGGAGCAACGCCGCGUGAGUGAAGAAGGAUUUCGGUUCGUAAAACUCUGUUGUUAGGGAAGAAAAAAUGUAUAGUAACUAUAUACAAAAGAGACGGUACCUAACCAGAAAGCCACGGCUAACUACGUGCCAGCAGCCGCGGUAAUACGUAGGUGGCAAGCGUUGUCCGGAAUUAUUGGGCGUAAAGCGCGCGCAGGUGGUUUAGAAAGUCUGAUGUGAAAGCCCACGGCUCAACCGUGGAGGGUCAUUGGAAACUAAUAAACUUGAGUGCAGGAGAGAAAAGUGGAAUUCCUAGUGUAGCGGUGAAAUGCGUAGAGAUUAGGAGGAACACCGGUGGCGAAAGCGGCUUUUUGGCCUGCAACUGACACUGAGGCGCGAAAGCGUGGGGAGCAAACAGG